UACGUAGGGUGCAAGCGUUAAUCGGAAUUACUGGGCGUAAAGCGUGCGCAGGCGGUUUUGUAAGACUGUCGUGAAAUCCCCGGGCUUAACCUGGGAAUGGCCAUGGAAACUGGCGAACUGGAGUGUGGCAGAGGGGGGUGGAAUUCCGCGUGUAGCAGUGAAAUGCGUAGAGAUGCGGAGGAACACCGAUGGCGAAGGCAGCCCCCUGGGCUAGCACUGACGCUCAGGCACGAAAGCGUGGGGAGCAAACAGG
This 253-nucleotide ribosomal RNA is filed under the name uncultured bacterium. RNAcentral's name for it is "partial 16S ribosomal RNA". It matches the Rfam family "Bacterial small subunit ribosomal RNA", at positions 524 to 776 of the family's 1533-position model. The record is from RNAcentral.